GCUUUGCAGACGCGGUGAUUCACUACCUUGUCUUUGUGCUGUAGCAUUCAGUGGAUGCAGUUGAUUGUCAAGUUCUAGUCGUAAAAGAGGGCUUUGAUUUCGUCUCAGUUUGAGGGCUCCUGCUGAAAAUGAUGAUGGGCAGGAAUUACAGUCUUCUGGCUUCUCGAUAGGGCACGUCUUCUGGACCUUCUGCUGCCAACAGGCGGUACUGACUUCUUCGAUGUCUUUUCUCAUUCGCACUAACCUUGUGCUAAAGCUGUCGUCUUGAUGUCGCAUCUCGGUCUGUAUACAUAUAUAUGAAAAGCAGAAUAAUGUACGGCUGAAGUCCAACCGACAAAACGAGUGACUCACGAGUCCAGCUCUAAGGCGUUCAAUAGCGGCAUCCAUUUCGUCUUCAAUUUCUUCGACAGUCUGCUCGCGGUGGCUGCGCCGGCGAAAGGCAUUAGAACGACCGAGCUCAGAGUUCAUUGAACCAAAGUAGACAAGUGACGCCAUCCACUUGAGGAACUAGUUGUGAAGAAAUUACGUACGGCGCAGAUUAGGUACACAGAUGAGUUGGUAAGUCAACACGGAAGUAUAGAAUGAAAAACGUCGAAGAACAGUUCAACUUGCAGUGGCAAAUGGCACUGAGUGGACCUCUCUUGAUGUCUGACCUGAACAGGAUGUGACUGAAUGCGGAAUGGUUUGAGGUGGUGAGUCUUCUGGAAACGCGGGGUUGGCAGUGAAUCCCUUCAACUGUCAUCCAUCUGUUUGUAUUGUACUCAGAUGACUGGCAACUCUACAAACAAUGACGUGUGGCGGAAUGUUUGCACAGUUGAGAAGUUUAACUCAUUUGAUAACACGUUGAUCAUUGAGUGUACUGUACGUUCUACAACGGAAAUAGAGGACUAAUUAAAUAAAUAUAUUACAAGAUGCAGCAGCUUGCA
Molecule: long non-coding RNA, 926 nt
Organism: Corticium candelabrum
Lineage: Eukaryota; Metazoa; Porifera; Homoscleromorpha; Homosclerophorida; Plakinidae
Exons: 2
Source: RefSeq, a predicted model, not a curated record